This 110-nucleotide ribosomal RNA is filed under the name uncultured bacterium. Its description in RNAcentral is "partial 16S ribosomal RNA". It matches the Rfam family "Bacterial small subunit ribosomal RNA", at positions 1373 to 1482 of the family's 1533-position model. The record is from RNAcentral.
CUCGGGCCUUGUACACACCGCCCGUCACACCCCGAAAGCGGGAAACAGAUGAAGCCGGUGGCCCAACCGCAAGGAGGGAGCCGUCGAGUCUGGGUUUCGUGAUUGGGGUG